RNAcentral lists this ribosomal RNA (152 nucleotides) under Clostridium senegalense. RNAcentral describes it as "partial 16S ribosomal RNA". It matches the Rfam family "Bacterial small subunit ribosomal RNA", at positions 1 to 151 of the family's 1533-position model. Lineage: Bacteria; Bacillati; Bacillota; Clostridia; Eubacteriales; Clostridiaceae. The record is from RNAcentral.
UUUAAAUUGAGAGUUUGAUCCUGGCUCAGGACGAACGCUGGCGGCGUGCCUAACACAUGCAAGUCGAGCGAUGAAGCUCCUUCGGGAGUGGAAUAGCGGCGGACGGGUGAGUAACACGUGGGUAACCUGCCUCAUAGAGGGGAAUAGCCUUC